AUGAUUGCGGAGACCACUCCGAAGAGGUCAAGGCUGAGCAUAUCCAUUGAGGACGACGACGAUGUUGAUGAAGAUGCCAACAAUAAACCGGAAGGAAGCAAGAUUGCAAAAGAAAGAAAGAAGAGGAAUGUAUUCAGUGGCACUUACAAGGAUGAACUUGUGUCAAUGAUCGAGACGAAGGUGUUGGCGGCCGAACACAAAGAAGAAAAGGUGGCGAGGUGGAAUGAGCUCAAGGCCUUCGAGGAUGAGAAGUGGAAGACCAAGAUGGUGGCCGAAGAGAGAAAGUUGAAGGCCGAGGAGCGUAGGUUUGCACUUGAUGUGGAGAGGAUUCGUGAUGCAAAGAAACAAACACACACUUUGUCAAUUGACAGUCAUUUCCGAGACAGCUGCUAG
Molecule: ribosomal RNA, 393 nt
Filed under: Triticum aestivum (bread wheat)
Lineage: Eukaryota; Viridiplantae; Streptophyta; Magnoliopsida; Poales; Poaceae
Description: partial small subunit ribosomal RNA
Source: RNAcentral